AAUGCUGUGUGGAAAGCUUGUAACUUGCAAGGGAAUACGAGUCGGGUGAAAAACGACAACUUUAAGCAGAGGACGAGCAAAAAAAAGGCUGUGUACAUGUUUUUUUGUCAAAGAAAAAAAUAACACGAGUUGAGCUUUGACUUGUUUUACCGAGUUACUUGUCACAUAUAAAAUGCAAAGAAACAUCACAAUACUAAAAACCAGAUAUAGUUAGCAAUUAGACUGUCCACGUCUAAGGUGUGCGUUUGGCCUUUAAAAACAAUCAGAUCAUUUUUUUUCUGCUUCAAUGAAAAUCAUAUCGUUUGGCCUUUACAUUUGGGCUUAAUGUGUUUACGUUUAGGCUUUAUUAAACCCAAAACUAUGUCGCAACGCUAAAUCUACGACGCGGAGAUGCCGAGGCUCUUCUGCUCUGCCACUUCGUCUUCUCUCUUCUCCUCAAUCAUUUCGUCUUCUCCCCGUGAAACGAUUUCCAGUGAGUUCUGAUUCCUCCAUCAAUAGUCCAUAAUCAAUUUCUCCUUUAUGGUUUCGUUACAUCUCCCUCUUUUCCUCCUCCUUUAUAUACUACUUUCUUUCCUCUGUAAAAAUCAAACCCCUAAAAACACUCAAACCUCGAUCUAUGGCGAUGACACAAAAUGGGAAGUCAAUUGUCUCCUCCGAAUACGACGACAGAGUCAUGUUCUUCAAAGAUAUCUGUCACCACGAAUCUCAGUUGCGGUUUCGGCUCCUCCAUUUCUGGGAGGCUUGGAACCCAAUAAAGAAGACGUUUAUUGGCCUCGAGAUGCUGCUCAUCAACGAACAGGUACAGUAAACUGAGACUACUAAGCUUAUAUAAAUAUAUAGAUCUUCCCGGUUAUUUACUUAAAACGUUCAUUGCUUUAUUAUUUUUGUUGUGUUUAUGUGAUUCUUCGCAGGGAACAGUUAUUCAAGGAUUCAUCUCCCCAGGACGUAUUCAAACAUAUUUGAACUCAACAACUUCUAUGGAUCCAGAAACAAAACCGUGUUCCGGGUUUCUGAUCAUACCGCGACCGUGUCGUUCACAUGGAACUCAGAACUGUCGGUUCUUCAAGACGGCCAUGCUCCUUUUGAUGAAGACAGUUUCUGGUUUCAUUCGUAUGAAGAAUUUCAAGCUAGCUGUGAUCUCAAAGGAGACCUCUACGGUAAUCUCUGUAAUUCGCCACAUGUUUUCUUAGUUGCAUUGCUUGAUGAUUAGGUGUAGACUUUAGCCUUUGGUGAAGAAUGAAGUAAACGUUUGAAGAGUAUUCAUUUUUUGUGGUUUGACUUAGUCGUUUUCCGAAGUCAGUCUUGAAAUAAUCACAUUUUUUGCUAUGACUUAAUCGUUCUCUGAAGUAUGUAUUGAAAGAAUAAAAUUUAGAUGGUUGAAAAUCAUUUGUUCGGUUUGUAGCAUUAGGUAUCAGAACUUACUACUCUCAGCUCUUGGAUUUUGUUGAUCUGUUCAGUUUUUUAAACUGUUUUGGGUUUGCUUUAGUUGUUCUCUGAAGUCUGUCUUGAAAGAAUAAAAUUUAGAUGAUUGAAAUUCAUUUGUUCGGUUUGUAUCGUUAGGUACCAGAGCUUACUACUCUCAGCUCUUGGAUUUUAUUGAUCUGUUGAGUACUUUAAACUAUUUAUUUGUAGUAUUUUUACUUACACUCUUGAUGAACUAUGGAAUAGAUGUUGUUGGCCACAUGAAGUUGGUUAAUGGUCAGAGUACAAAGGAAGCCCCCGUUCUUGACGAAGUGGAGAUAGCAAAGUCGAGGCGUGUUCUGAUUCAUAUCCAAUCACAUGAGUAGGUUUACAUUAUUUUUUAAACACUUCUUCUCUCUACUCUUCUUAACCAUUCAGAAUCGUUUUUUACAGUGUACCUAUGAUGAAGCUCUACCUUUGGGACCAGGCUGCAAGAGACUUCUGCAAAAAGUUUAAGUCGUACGAAAAAACACCCACCGUGUUACUGGUCACAACCGUUAACGCAAAGACUCUCGGAGGUACAUAUUUCUAUCUUUAAUAUAAGUUUAUUACAGUUACGUAUCUGCAGUUUGUGUUUUUUAAUUGGUUUUCUUGAUACACUAGGUACUCUUGCCCUUGCCUCAAUGUCCACCCUACCAUAGAUUACUUUGGCUGGUUGGGCUCUAAUCCAGCUAUUGCUGAGUAGGUUAGUGCAGAGGUGGUAACUAAACGGGAGACAAUGACUAUAAGGGAAAUAUUUUCCUACAUCAAGCAGGAAUCUGCAAAGGAUGCCUUUUUUGAGUGCACGGCUACGAUCGAUGACGUCGUGCAUGACUCUGGUUGGUACUACAUCGCAUGCAGUGGGUGCAAUACUAAGGUUACGAACGGGGCAACUUCGAUGAUUUGUACAAACAGCAAGUGUGGGAAGAUUAACGUGGCUGGAGUUGCACAGUACCGUUCAAAGAUAUCAGUCUAUGAUAACAGUGGGAAAGCUUUUUUGUACUACUUGGUGAUGCUGGUCGGGAGUUGACCGGAAAGCCAGCAUCAGAAUUAGUUAGAAACUAUUUCGAGGCUAACGGAAACGAAGAAGGUAACCAUGAGGCGCCUGUCCUGGAAGCUUUGAUCAGCACCAUCGGCCAAAGACAUAAGUUUUGUGUCAAGGUGACAGAGCACAACUUAUCAGGCAAGACCCGGUCUCUUACUGUGACCAAGAUCCUCCCUCUAGACACUCCACCAGCCACAAUGUCAUCGGAAGAAGACCACACUACUGCAACUUCGGAGGAAGCAUUCAAAAGGCGUCUGGAUUCUGCAGAUGGGAGUAAGAGGACUUGUGGCAGUGAUGAGAUAGAGGAGGCUAAACGCCUGAAGUGUUGGAACUAGAGCUUCCGUAAAUCUACUAAAAUUUGCAUGGUUAUUUGCAGAUUGAGUAUUUGUUUCCAGUUUCGUUUUUGGUUCAUGCUUUCCUUUCAGUAUAACUUUCGAGAGUUUUAUUUCUUUGCAACAUGUUAUCUACUUUGAAAGAUUGCGAGUUACUAAACAGGUUUUAUGCACUGUUACUCUGCUUUAGGAUUACUCUGCUUAGAUAAAUAUUUAGAGAUCUACAAUAAUUUCAAUGAUAUAGUUUGAGUAACAAAUAUGACAGGCCAGGCUUACAUUUGCAUAUUGAAAAUGAUAUUGUCACUGCAUGAAUCCGCAUGAAAGUUUGUCAUAUUUUUCAAAUAAUCCUUCCAGCAACGUAAAAAAAACUUCCAUUGAGGCUAACAUUUUUUAAUAUUCAGAGUAUCUAAUUCAAUAAAUAAGAAAUAUUCCCCUAAAGCGUUUAUGGUAAGAGUAUCAUUGAGGUUUCCUUUUUCCAUCAAGGAAUUACGUAAUCAACGAAGAAAACCAAACUUACU
Molecule: long non-coding RNA, 3335 nt
Organism: Brassica napus (rape)
Lineage: Eukaryota; Viridiplantae; Streptophyta; Magnoliopsida; Brassicales; Brassicaceae
Exons: 5
Source: RefSeq, a predicted model, not a curated record